This 102-nucleotide small RNA is filed under the name Salmonella enterica. Its description in RNAcentral is "partial RtT sRNA". It matches the Rfam family "RtT RNA", at positions 31 to 130 of the family's 130-position model. From Rfam's summary of the family: This family represents a bacterial cis-regulatory element known as RtT RNA. The exact function of RtT is unknown although it is thought that it may be involved in changing the cellular response in relation to amino acid starvation. RNAcentral also lists the same sequence under 1 other name. Lineage: Bacteria; Pseudomonadati; Pseudomonadota; Gammaproteobacteria; Enterobacterales; Enterobacteriaceae. The record is from RNAcentral.
UUCGACUAAGGUUCGAUUCGAGCGAAAGCGAGAAAGCGUUGCCGCAGGCAACGACCCGAAGGGCGAAGCGCGCAGCGCUGAGUAAUCCUUCCCCCACCACCA